AUGAUCAAGACAUGCUUGAUGCGAAUGAGCAAAAAAGAGGGAGCUCAUGGCCCUUCCGGUAGCAGCGCUACACCACCUGUUGUUGGACAGGAGGGGCUCCCGGUAGCAGCGAUUGGGGGGAGUCUCUUGCUACUACUCCAAAGAGGGAUCCAAGAGAACCAGGAUGAAUGUUGGGAGUGCAAAUUCCCCCCUAUUGUAUUUUUAUGUGAAACACGACAAAAGGCAAGUAGGAUAAAAAGAUACAAAGGGAGGCUUGGUUUACAAGGUUCUGAUGGUGUUGAUUGUAAUGGUAACAGUGGUGGGCUCACUUUGUUUUGGCAUGAGAGUUUAGUAGUUGAUGUGGUGUUCUCUAAUGACCGUUGCAUUCACACACAUAUUGGAUCGGGCCGGAUGAAGCGCCUUGGAGCCUAA
This 411-nucleotide ribosomal RNA is filed under the name Triticum aestivum (bread wheat). RNAcentral describes it as "partial small subunit ribosomal RNA". Lineage: Eukaryota; Viridiplantae; Streptophyta; Magnoliopsida; Poales; Poaceae. The record is from RNAcentral.